Sabethes cyaneus is the source of this 867-nucleotide long non-coding RNA. RefSeq lists it as uncharacterized. The transcript is spliced from 3 exons. The record is from RefSeq and is a predicted model, not a curated record. NCBI's taxonomy places the organism in Eukaryota, Metazoa, Arthropoda, Insecta, Diptera, Culicidae.
UAAGAUCUCAACCUGCUCGAAUUUCCUUAAUCCUAAAGCCCUAAGUCCACAUCUGAGUAAGCUGUCGGCUGUGUGAACGAUAGCCCUCCAAGUCUUCUGGGCGGAGGGAUGGUUUACAGGGGAAAGUUUUCUCUGAUGCGAAUGUCUCUCAUUGCUAACAACCUGCCUCGGAUAAGCUAUCAACUGUGUGGGUGAUAACACUCCAAAUCUUCUAGAUGGAAGGGUCACUCAGGCGGGAUAACUUUACCGAGACGGCAUACAGUCACCUAUAUGGGUGAUAAUAUUCCAAGUCUUCUAGGCGGAACAGUCACUCAGUAGGAAAACUUUGCUUACUAUCACCACCCCGAUUUGCAACUGUAAGGGUGGUAACCCUCCAAGUCCAUGGAUGGACGGACCACUCAGACACUAAUACGCCCACAGAUACGUCGAUAAAUACGAACACGGUGUUCAAUACCACAGGGUGCUAACCAAGAGGAUUGUUGCCAAUUCAAUAGGUUGUUUAAAAUCGGGAAGCUUCGGAUAUCCCGCUUUUAAACUUGAAAAGCUUUAAAAAGGCCAAUCCGUAAAAUGAAGCUUUAUUCUUUCUUGCAAUCCAAAAGAAAACACAGGUGCGCGACGGUGAUUUUUUUAAAGUUGUACAGUUUUUAAAAUUAAAUUGUGACGGAAGAUAAUGUUGUUUUGUUCAAAUUCAAAACUAUUGUGAUAGUACAAUGUAAUCCAAUAUCCGAGAAGACAAGUGAUUGUUAGUAGCAAAAAACAAAAGGUCCUGGAGGGGCCUUUUGUGUUUUGGUUCCAGAAAUUUGGACCGUUUCUUCGACAGUCACCAAAAGUGCAACACAAGAACACCGCAUCCGCAUCUAAAAUUAC